This 499-nucleotide ribosomal RNA is filed under the name uncultured Rhodococcus sp. Its description in RNAcentral is "bacterial SSU rRNA". It matches the Rfam family "Bacterial small subunit ribosomal RNA", at positions 903 to 1382 of the family's 1533-position model. The record is from RNAcentral. Lineage: Bacteria; Bacillati; Actinomycetota; Actinomycetes; Mycobacteriales; Nocardiaceae.
GCCAGCCCGCUCAGAAACUUAAAGGAAUUGACGGGGGCCCGCACAAGCGGCGGAGCAUGUGGAUUAAUUCGAUGCAACGCGAAGAACCUUACCUGGGUUUGACAUACACCGGAAAACCGUAGAGAUACGGUCCCCCUUGUGGUCGGUGUACAGGUGGUGCAUGGCUGUCGUCAGCUCGUGCCGUGAGAUGUUGGGUUAAGUCCCGCAACGAGCGCAACCCUUGUCUUAUGUUGCCAGCACGUGAUGGUGGGGACUCGUAAGAGACUGCCGGGGUCAACUCGGAGGAAGGUGGGGACGACGUCAAGUCAUCAUGCCCCUUAUGUCCAGGGCUUCACACAUGCUACAAUGGCCAGUACAGAGGGCUGCGAGACCGUGAGGUGGAGCGAAUCCCUUAAAGCUGGUCUCAGUUCGGAUCGGGGUCUGCAACUCGACCCCGUGAAGUCGGAGUCGCUAGUAAUCGCAGAUCAGCAACGCUGCGGUGAAUACGUUCCCGGGCCUU